AUUGAACGCUGGCGGCAUGCUUUACACAUGCAAGUCGAACGGUAACAGGCCUUCGGGUGCUGACGAGUGGCGAACGGGUGAGUAAUGCAUCGGAACGUACCCAGAGGUGGGGGAUAACGCAGCGAAAGCUGUGCUAAUACCGCAUGUGAUCUGAGGAUGAAAGCGGGGGACCGAGCAGCAAUGUUUGGCCUCGCGCCUUUGGAGCGGCCGAUGUCGGAUUAGCUAGUUGGUGGGGUAAAGGCCUACCAAGGCGACGAUCCGUAGCUGGUCUGAGAGGACGACCAGCCACACUGGUACUGAGACACGGCCCAGACUCCUACGGGAGGCAGCAGUGGGGAAUUUUGGACAAUGGGCGCAAGCCUGAUCCAGCAAUGCCGCGUGCGGGAAGAAGGCCUUCGGGUUGUAAACCGCUUUUGGCAGGAACGAAACGGUGUCCGCUAAUACCGGGCGCUAAUGACGGUACCUGCAGAAUAAGCACCGGCUAACUACGUG
RNAcentral lists this ribosomal RNA (492 nucleotides) under uncultured bacterium. RNAcentral's name for it is "partial 16S ribosomal RNA". It matches the Rfam family "Bacterial small subunit ribosomal RNA", at positions 30 to 507 of the family's 1533-position model. The record is from RNAcentral.